UACGUAGGCAGCAAGCGUUGUUCGGAGUUACUGGGCGUAAAGGGUGUGUAGGCGGUUGGAUAAGCGUGGUGUGAAAUCUCCCGGCUCAACUGGGAGGGUGCGCCGAAUACUGAAAGACUAGAGUGCGGGAGAGGAAAGUGGAAUUCCUGGUGUAGCGGUGAAAUGCGUAGAUAUCAGGAGGAACACCGGUGGUGUAGACGGCUUUCUGGACCGUAACUGACGCUGAGACACGAAAGCGUGGGUAGCAAACAGG
This 253-nucleotide ribosomal RNA is filed under the name uncultured bacterium. RNAcentral describes it as "partial 16S ribosomal RNA". It matches the Rfam family "Bacterial small subunit ribosomal RNA", at positions 524 to 776 of the family's 1533-position model. The record is from RNAcentral.